AACAAGGUCUUGGUUCUCUACUGG
RNAcentral lists this non-coding RNA (24 nucleotides) under Arabidopsis thaliana (thale cress). Lineage: Eukaryota; Viridiplantae; Streptophyta; Magnoliopsida; Brassicales; Brassicaceae. The record is from RNAcentral.